Molecule: long non-coding RNA, 1458 nt
Organism: Eptesicus fuscus (big brown bat)
Lineage: Eukaryota; Metazoa; Chordata; Mammalia; Chiroptera; Vespertilionidae
Exons: 3
Source: RefSeq, a predicted model, not a curated record
CGGCGGCGCCCUUUGUUCCCGCGCCCGGCCUCCGCCCGCCCGCGGCGGGGACGCUGCCGCCCGAGCCCCGGCUCCCUCACGGCCGCCCCGCGGAGGCCGGAGGCGCGAGGCCGGGGACGCCUCUCCGUCCCCGGGGGCCGGCGGCGGCGGGGCCGGGGUGCCCCGGGCUGCGCCGAAGGCGUGCGGACUCAACAGCCGGGCCGAGCGGGGCAAUGGCUUCCUGGGCCGACCGGCCCUUCCAGAAGGUUCUGCCCGGGGUCAGACGGGCUGGGCCUGGCGCUGGGCUUGGGUCCCAGGAACCUCCCUCCGGACUUUGGAUCCCUGUGCAGCGCCUCGGGGCCCCCGGAGGCCGGGAAGAAGCGGAGGGAGGUCCGGAAUUUUCCAUGCUGGGUGUCAGGACGACCUCCAGGGCCGGGCCCCGGGCUUUGUCAAUGAUCCAUGGCUGAACCCAGCAGCCGGCUUCCCCGCAGGACAAGACACGUGCCUGGAAGACCCGCCGGAGUGGGCCUCAGCCUGGAAACCUCGGAGAAAGUCAUGAUGGGCCCCGGUGUACAGCCCUGAAGAAUCCAAGGCUUCCUUAGAAAAUUGAACAUGACCUUAACCUUGGACCUAGCAGCUCCUCUUCUAGGAGUUUACCCUGCUGCUGCCAGAUGUGCAGGAGUGAGCAAAGCUGUUCAGUAAAGCGUUGUUCUGUGACAGCCCCGAACAGAAAGUCACGUCUCCAAAACGUGCCACUUUUGAAAAAACUGGGCAAGAACUCCUGUCCCACGCCGCGCGAGAGCCACCACCUACAUGGAAGAAGAGAAGCCUGACACCCUUUCACCUCAUCCCAUGAAGGCGGCCGCCCAGUGGAGCAGUGGCUUCUCCCAAACUAGGAAGUAGACCUCCCUCAAGGUCAUCCUGAAAAGUCCUGGGCAAACUUGGAAGUCGGUGGUCUUCUGCUUCCACUUGAUCACCCAUUCACACCUCUCUGUUCCCGCCCCUCCACCUCCUUCCUUUUCCCCGGCUUCCCCAGAGGUGGUGCCUUAUGUGGGCUCCCUCAGAACCCAGAUCCCUGGCAUUGAACUUGGGACACAUGCGAAGUCCAGUUAUUUCCUCUACAUACAGCCCGAGGUUUCCAUUACUCCCAUUGGUGAGAACACAAUUGCUAAGCAAGGAAUUUGAUUGGCGUGUGCAGGCUGCUUUGGGUUGAACUUUUGCAAGAAAAAAAGAGGUGUGGCUGGAGCAGAGCUACUCCCUUUUAUCAGGUCUUUUUAUCACACCGGGGAGAGGGAGCGAUAAGGGUUCCUGGGAAGCCCGUGCUAGAGACUCAUCUAACCCUUGCCCAGGUGUUAUGACUGUAAACCUAUGAAGUUAAAGCACUUUUAUUUUUACUGCAGAAAUUAAUUACUUUAUCAUUGUAAUUCAGAAACUCCCUAGCUCCAAACUCACUUUUUCACAUUGAAAUGAUAGUUUUAA